Molecule: long non-coding RNA, 369 nt
Filed under: Gossypium barbadense (sea-island cotton)
Lineage: Eukaryota; Viridiplantae; Streptophyta; Magnoliopsida; Malvales; Malvaceae
Description: long non-coding RNA (GBAR_LNC000080)
Source: RNAcentral
ACAGAUGAUAUCUUCAUCAUUAACUUGAUAAAAAAAAAUCCACGUUAUAAGGAAGUGUUGUAGUGGGUCUUCGUUUUCGAAAUGAGAAUUCUCUCUUGUUCCUCAGAGGUUUCUUCUCCGUCAUUGGAGUAUUCCCACUAAGGCUUCUCUCAGUUUGUUUGUUCUUUCUUCUUUGUUUUUUUGUUUUCUUUCUCUCGAUUUGGGUUUUAGGUUUGUUUGAUGUUGAGUUGGUUAUUAAUCCUUUGUUGCCUAGGUCUUGAGCUUUUACUUUUUUAUUUUGCUUGCUGCUGAUCUGUAAAGGGUAGGAAAAUUUCCUAAUCGCCAUUUUCUAGUUUUUCCAUUGGCCCAAUCUAUUGAAGUGUUUCUGGG